UACGUAGGUGGCGAGCGUUAUCCGGAAUGAUUGGGCGUAAAGGGUGCGUAGGCGGUUUCUUAAGUCAGAGGUGAAAGGCUACGGCUCAACCGUAGUAAGCCUUUGAAACUGGGGAACUUGAGUGCAGAAGAGGAGAGUGGAAUUCCUAGUGUAGCGGUGAAAUGCGUAGAUAUUAGGAGGAACACCAGUUGCGAAGGCGGCUCUCUGGACUGUAACUGACACUGAGGCACGAAAGCGUGGGGAGCAAACAGG
Molecule: ribosomal RNA, 252 nt
Filed under: uncultured bacterium
Lineage: Bacteria
Description: partial 16S ribosomal RNA
Rfam family: Bacterial small subunit ribosomal RNA
Source: RNAcentral